This 392-nucleotide ribosomal RNA is filed under the name uncultured bacterium. RNAcentral describes it as "partial 16S ribosomal RNA". It matches the Rfam family "Bacterial small subunit ribosomal RNA", at positions 523 to 918 of the family's 1533-position model. The record is from RNAcentral.
AUACGGAGGAUCCGAGCGUUAUCCGGAUUUAUUGGGUUUAAAGGGUGCGCAGGCGGCCAUUUAAGUCAGCGGUUAAAUCGUGGGGCUCAACCCCAUUCUGCCGUUGAUACUGGGUGGCUUGAUUGCGGUCGAGGUUGGCGGAAUUCGUUGUGUAGCGGUGAAAUGCAUAGAUAUGACGAAGAACACCGAUUGCGUAGGCAGCUGACCAGACCGCAAAUGACGCUCAUGCACGAAAGUGCGGGGAUCGAACAGGAUUAGAUACCCUGGUAGUCCGCACAGUAAACGAUGAAUACUUGUUUUCGGCGAUAUAAUGUCGGAGGCAAAGCGAAAGCGAUAAGUAUUCCACCUGGGGAGUACGUCGGCAACGGUGAAACUCAAAGGAAUUGGCGGGG